UAGUUAUUAGAAGGAGCUUGAAAAGGUGUUGCGCCUUGACAAAGAAUGAGACUCUCCUGAACUUAUUCAAGGUCUUUCAAAGAGUUCUUAGAGCUUACGCUGCAAAGCUUCUCAUGAAGCUGCCUAAAGGUGGCAUGGGGAUUGUUGCAGCUGCCACGGGUAUGGAUGGACAUAUUAAGACAUCUGAUAAAGAUGAAAGGCUGAUAUGCUAUGUUGUAAAUACGGCAGAAUAUUGUCAUAAAACGG
Erigeron canadensis is the source of this 246-nucleotide long non-coding RNA. RefSeq lists it as uncharacterized. The record is from RefSeq and is a predicted model, not a curated record. Lineage: Eukaryota; Viridiplantae; Streptophyta; Magnoliopsida; Asterales; Asteraceae. The transcript is spliced from 3 exons.